Molecule: long non-coding RNA, 364 nt
Filed under: Linum usitatissimum (flax)
Lineage: Eukaryota; Viridiplantae; Streptophyta; Magnoliopsida; Malpighiales; Linaceae
Description: long non-coding RNA (LUSI_LNC005889)
Source: RNAcentral
AUUGUGCUCUUUCCAGAACCACUUCCGCCAACAAGAGCCACAAUCUUCCCAGAAGGUAUGUCAAGGCGAAGCUUGUUGAAUAUAGUUACAUCAGGGCGAGAAGGGUAUCUAAAAGUAACGUCCUUGAAUUGGAUGUGACCCUCCAGUUUGGUUAACUUUUUCCCAGUUUUUGAGCUGGUUUUACUCACUGUGUUCCUCUCUAUCAUCUUGAAAAUAGGACCUGCUGCUGCUUUGGCCCUUACGAAUGCAGUGAUAUCCGGAGCUGCCUGUCCCAGUGCCCUUUUGAAUACCAUAGAUAGAAGAAUGAGUCAGAUAGUACUCAACUAGUCACUGCUCCAAGAUUUUAAACACAAUGAAGAACUAC